GCUGUCUCAACCUCUCCGGAGUCCCUGAAUCAAUCUCAUCCUACUGAGGACAGCCUUCUGUCAAAAGGAUUCCCGAGCCACAGAGUUCGGGGAGAGAAUGCUCCUCUCGGCCACAAGUGUCCUGCUAGGGAGAUUUUCAGAGGGAUUCCCUUCUCUAAAGGCAGAAGACUGUACUCUGGAAAUACCUUCUCCGAUCCCCCAGAGGAUGUGCUUCUGGCCAUGAUCAUAGCCCCCAUCUGCCUCAUCCCUUUCCUCGUUACGCUUGUGGUGUGGAGGAGUAAAGACGGCGAUGCGCAGGCGUAGGCUCCGCCUCUCAGCAGCCAUCUUUUCCCUGUACCCUGCUGGAACCAGGAUCUCUCCUCCCCUCCCUACCCACUUACUCCCAUCCUUCCCACAGACCUUCGGAUUGGUGGAAAUGGAAGAAAGGGGAACUGAUAGCACAAUGUCCGUCGUCUUUAAAAUAAAAUAUGUUUUUGUACAAUCGUC
This 486-nucleotide long non-coding RNA is filed under the name Rattus norvegicus (Norway rat). RNAcentral describes it as "long non-coding RNA NONRATT004903". Lineage: Eukaryota; Metazoa; Chordata; Mammalia; Rodentia; Muridae. The record is from RNAcentral.